UUUAUAGAGUGGCUAACUGGAGACUCGUGAAUAUUAUGCAUUCAUUUAUAACCAUCUUUAUAUUAUCCGUUCUAUCAGGCAUCUUCGGAAAUGUAGCACCUGACAGAACGACGACUCCUCCAUCGGAUCUGACUACUCCACAGGAUAAUGAAGGAUCUAAUGCAACUGCAGCAGCUCCCGGUAAGUGUGUCUC
Rhipicephalus sanguineus (brown dog tick) is the source of this 193-nucleotide long non-coding RNA. RefSeq lists it as uncharacterized. NCBI's taxonomy places the organism in Eukaryota, Metazoa, Arthropoda, Arachnida, Ixodida, Ixodidae. The transcript has 3 exons. The record is from RefSeq and is a predicted model, not a curated record.